This 340-nucleotide ribosomal RNA is filed under the name Staphylococcus epidermidis IS-250. RNAcentral describes it as "bacterial SSU rRNA". It matches the Rfam family "Bacterial small subunit ribosomal RNA", at positions 1 to 329 of the family's 1533-position model. The record is from RNAcentral. Lineage: Bacteria; Bacillati; Bacillota; Bacilli; Caryophanales; Staphylococcaceae.
UUUUAUGGAGAGUUUGAUCCUGGCUCAGGAUGAACGCUGGCGGCGUGCCUAAUACAUGCAAGUCGAGCGAACAGACGAGGAGCUUGCUCCUCUGACGUUAGCGGCGGACGGGUGAGUAACACGUGGAUAACCUACCUAUAAGACUGGGAUAACUUCGGGAAACCGGAGCUAAUACCGGAUAAUAUAUUGAACCGCAUGGUUCAAUAGUGAAAGACGGUUUUGCUGUCACUUAUAGAUGGAUCCGCGCCGCAUUAGCUAGUUGGUAAGGUAACGGCUUACCGAAGGCGACGAUGCGUAGCCGACCUGAGAGGUGAUCGGCCACACUGGAACUGAGACACGG